AUUGAACGCUGGCGGCAGGCCUAACACAUGCAAGUCGAGCGGAUGAAGGGAGCUUGCUCCUGGAUUCAGCGGCGGACGGGUGAGUAAUGCCUAGGAAUCUGCCUGGUAGUGGGGGAUAACGUCCGGAAACGGGCGCUAAUACCGCAUACGUCCUGAGGGAGAAAGUGGGGGAUCUUCGGACCUCACGCUAUCAGAUGAGCCUAGGUCGGAUUAGCUAGUUGGUGGGGUAAAGGCCUACCAAGGCGACGAUCCGUAACUGGUCUGAGAGGAUGAUCAGUCACACUGGAACUGAGACACGGUCCAGACUCCUACGGGAGGCCGCAGUGGGGAAUAUUGGACAGUGGGCGAAAGCCUGAUCCAGCCAUGCCGCGUGUGUGAAGAAGGUCUUCGGAUUGUAAAGAACUUUAAGUUGGGAGGAAGGGCAGUAAGUUAAUACCUUGCUGUUUUGACGUUACCAACAGAAUAAGCACCGGCUAACUUCGUG
Molecule: ribosomal RNA, 484 nt
Filed under: uncultured bacterium
Lineage: Bacteria
Description: partial 16S ribosomal RNA
Rfam family: Bacterial small subunit ribosomal RNA
Source: RNAcentral